RNAcentral lists this unclassified non-coding RNA (355 nucleotides) under Hevea brasiliensis (rubber tree). Lineage: Eukaryota; Viridiplantae; Streptophyta; Magnoliopsida; Malpighiales; Euphorbiaceae. The record is from RNAcentral.
GCUUAGAGCAAUUAGGAAUUGAAUGGUCUAAGAGUAAUCACUUAGAUGGAGCUUAUGGUUUUUUUAUUAACUUCUCUCUCUCUCUCUCACUCCCUCAUUUCUUUUUUAUUCUUUUCUCUUUUUGGCUAACUACUCUCUCCUUUCUCUCUUCCUUUUCUCUUUUUUGGUAACAUAGCAGAGUUUUCUGCCAAGGCAUUUGCUUAUUGUGGAGAGAGGAGAUUUAGUGAAUAGUUUUGUUAUUGAAAUUGCAAACAUACACUUUAUCUAAUCUCUGUUCGGAAAAAGAUAGGGACCUCUUUCUCUUAAAAUAAUGGCUGUGCUGGUUAUUAUUUUAAGGGGUGGGCAAGUUAAUUAA